This is a non-coding RNA of Cherax quadricarinatus, 4989 nucleotides long. The record is from RefSeq and is a predicted model, not a curated record. Lineage: Eukaryota; Metazoa; Arthropoda; Malacostraca; Decapoda; Parastacidae.
UCCAGAUUUAAUCCCAUUUUAUUUCCCCCCACUGAAACUCUCCUACCCCCUUCAGCUUUGUUUCGCUUAGGGCCAGGACAUCCAACUUCUUUUCAUUCAUAACAUCAGCAAUCAUCUGUUUCUUGUCAUCCGCACUACAUCCACGCACAUUUAAGCAACCCAGUUUUAUAAAGUUUUUUCUUCUUCUCUUUUUUAGUAAUUGUAUACAGGAGAAGGGGUUACUAGCCCAUUGCUCCCGGCAUUUUAGUCGCCUCAUACGACACGCAUGGCUUACGGAGGAAAGAUUCUUUCCACUUCCCCAUGGACAAUAGAAGAAAUAAAAAAAGAACAAGAGCUAUUUAGAAAAAGGAGAAAAACCUAGAUGUAUGUAUAUAUAUAUAUGCAUGUGCGUGUCUGUGAAGUGUGACCAAAGUGUAAGUAGGAGUAGCAAGAUAUCCCUGUUAUCUUAGCGUGUUUAUGAGACAGAAAAAGAAACCAGCAAUCCUACCAUCAUGCAAAACAGUUACAGGUUUUUGUUUCACAGUCGUCUGGCAGGACGGUAGUACUUCCCUGGGUGGUUGCUGUCUACCAACCUACUACAGUUUAAUUGCUCCCAGCAUUUAGUCGCCUCCUAUGACACGCAUAGCUAAUGGAGGAAGAAUUCUAUUCCACUUCCCCAUGGAGAUAAGCAGAAAUAAACAAGAACAAGAACUAGGAAGAAAAUAGAAUAAAACCCAGAGGGGUUAGUAUAUAUAUACUUAUACAUGCAUGUGUAGUGUGACCUAAGUGUAAGUAGAAGUAGCAAGACAUACCUGCAAUCUUGCAUGUUUGAGACAGAAAGACACCAGCAAUCCUACCAUCAUGCAAAACAUUUACAGGCUUAUGUUUCAUACUCAUUGGUAGGACGGUAGUACCUCCCUGGGUGGUUGCUGUCUACCAACCUACUAAUAUCACCAAAAGUACAGUAUACAAUUUGAUGGGAAGCUUAAGGGCAUAGUUACUUGUCAAGUCUCAUUUUAACCUUUUCAGGGUCCAGACCCCUGAUCUGAAAAUUGCUCUCAGGGUCCAAGACUUUAGAAAAAAAAAUUCUUGUGAAUUGAUUGAGAAUCUUUUUGAAGGUAAUAACACCCAAAGUACAAAAUUUGAUGGAAAUUUCUGGAAUUAGACUCGCAUGGUUGGCUCAGUCUUGGCGAUAUUUACACAAGUGAAUUCUCCCACUCUGAGUCUUAUUUUAAGCCAAUUCCAUUGUUCCAGUCGACUAACCUUGGCUAUUUCGCUUGUAUGCCUUCUGUCGAUUGAGUACAAGAAACUCCCCAUUUAACUAUUUCAGCUACCCAAGAAAGCAACCAGAAAUCACUAAUUUGCCCAAUUUCACAUAAAAAUUUCGUAUUUGAAAAUAGUCCUGAAUAAACAGUGUAGACAUUCCUGGGGCUAAAACAAUUACUCUGUUCAUUAGUCAUGUCCCCCAGGCCUCUCCCAUAUUACGGUUACUUUUCAUUUUAAAUUUUUAUUCACAAAAAAUAAAGAUUUAAUGUUAUGCAGACAACUUCAUUAUUGUAAUUGUAUAAAUGUCAGUGCUCUCCUGAACGUGAAUUAAUUUCGACUAGUUAGACACAUUGUACAAGUGACAUAAACAGACCAUACCACGGGUGGGGAUAGAAGCCGCGAUCAGACUGAUCGCAGGUUUUAUCCCCGCCUGUGGUAUGGUUUGUUUGCAAUUGUGUCAUUACGAUUUCCUGAGUCAAGUGACAUAAUUUGUGUAGUUAUGCUACUUUGAGCUCAAUUUCAAGCUACUUCAUCCUGAAACCAAUCAAAAUAAUCUCUAUGUAAUAUAUCUUCCAUUCUAUCAAAUGAUACCAAGAAUACAACUGUAAAAAAACACCUGAAAAUAGAAGUCACUAUAUUGAACCAAAUAUUCAGUUUUCCCCAUCAUGCAAUGUGUGGGGGCAGGAUUUUUUUUUCUAGUGCAUUUUCCCAUUCUCUCAUAUCUAGGCCCAAAUUUAUCACUGCUUAUCUGAGUGAGCUGAGCUCAUGUAGAACAACAGCGCAGACCUAAGCUCAAAGCCGUGGUUUACUAUGGCAUGGACCUCGAAAGGGUUAAGCCAGUUCCAUUGCUCCAUUUGACCAAGUUCUUAUCUGUUACGCUAGUAUGACUUCUGUUCUAUUGAUUGAGCACAAGAAACUACCCAUUUAACUAUUCAUAUUAAAAUUACCCUACAAAAUCUAAUUUGGCCAGAUUUACACAAUUAAAAAAUACUAAGAGUCCAAAAUAAACUAGAUAUUCCUGGCAUUAAAAGAACAUUUGCCUUAUUCAUUAAUCAUUUUCCCCAUGCCUCUCCUAUAUUACACUUGCUAUCCAUUUUCAGUUUAGUCACAAAAGUAGAAGAUGUGUGCUUUCUCAGGUAAUAAAAUCUAAUUAGGAGUGAUUGGUUAUGGUUUACAGCAUCCCAAUAAUUGGUUCAGACGUACAAAAGUCGGUAAAACAGACCAGGGAGUAUAUGGAGGCCAUACUCCUCAGGAAAAUUGUCAAAAAUUUAAUAUUUUCAUUAAUUUGAGCUGUUUCAAGCUACUUUUAUUCAUGAAGCCAACCAGAAUCUUAUCUAUUUCAGUAGUAUGUCUUCCAUUCUAUCAAACGAUGCCAAAAAUGACGAGUAAAAUCAUAAACAAUCAUCUUAGAAAACACAUGUUAUUUUUAUCAAACAAGGUCAUUUUGUUUUUCCCAUCAUGCACCAUAUAGGGCAUGAUUUUUUUUAUUGUACAUACACCACACAGGCCCAUUCUCUCAUUUCUAGGCCAAAAUUUACCGCUCACAGCUUCACAGAGUGAGCUGAGCUCGUGAUGUGGAACUCCAUGAGGGACCCUUGCCUCAAUGAUGUAGUUCUAUGUGAUGACCAUUGAAAGGGUUAAAUUAUGACAUUUGCUAAAAAUAUAAAAAGAUUAAGUAGGAAAAUAUAGAAAAAAAUUUACUUUCCUAUGCUUGUCACAAGGUAGGGGGAGUGCAGUCUUGUCGCCCAUUAACAUAUAAAGCACUUCAUACUGUACUGCUAUUGCUACAUAUUACACUAGUAAAUGCACUCCAUCCUGCACUGCUAUUAAUAUAUAUAUUCUUUUAACAUGUAGAGCCAAAGUAAGUUUAAUUACUGAUUUGGAUUGGUCUUUGAGAAAAAAGAUGAAUGAUUGAAAUCCUUGCAUAAAAGUUUGAAAAUUGUAAAGCUCUUAUUUUGUUUACAAAAUCAUUGUUGAUUUAUUUCUCCAGAAAGUUUGCCAGGUUAGAGGAAACAUUAAUUGUUUUAACCCAUAAACAUGCAUAACCAGAAAUGAAAUUUCCCAUCUCUUCAGGACAACUUUGGAAAAAGUUCUUUGAUUAAAAGUGCACUUUUGAAAGUUAAAUAAAAAAUAUAACGAAAUUGGAUAGUAACUUCAGAUUUUGUUGAAGUACGUGUAAAAUGAAUACUUACACAACAGCAGUGUAAAUACUUUAGUGGUAUGUACGUUUUACAGCUUGCUGAUGUCAAAUAAUUGUUUUUCAGUUUAUGGGACUUUCCAUAGGCAUUGAAUUUGAAGCAGUCUUUAAUUAUCAUACUCUCAGGUGUUCUGUUGUAUACAGUGAAAGGUUUAACAAAUCUAAAUUUUACCUAAGAAACAUUGACUCUGCAGUUUCAAAUAGUGUCAUCCAUUCUUGCAUCAAAUAUUUUUCGUAACCAACCAAUUGAUCUUGAAACGAUUUUACCUUUUAAGAACACACAGCAUGAAUGGAAUUCCACGCAGAUCUUGGUGGUCGUGUGGCCAAAUUUCAUGCAAUAUAAAGAGAAUUUUCCUCAAGUUUUGUGAACACAUUACAUGAUGGAAGUUUCUUACAUGUUUGUACUUACAAGGUGUAACAAAUUGGAGCCUGAGGCAUUGCAGUGUACUAUGACUGGCUGACUCGAGUGUUACCUAUAUUUGGUACAGAUUGUUGGUAAGUAGUUAUUUAAUGUUGAAAAUGAAACAAGUAUUGUAAUAUAAAAAAAGGCCAUAAUGCUUGUUACUGCUUGGAGAGCUCAUAAGAUUGAGCUUCUGCCUAUCAGUGUUUUACUGCUGAGUGGCUAGUCACUAGUAGAGUAGUUUUAAUAUUAGAAUUCUUCCUGUAAAAUUACCUUAAUACUAUUUUAUUAUCACUGGCCGAUUCCCACCAAGGCAGGGUGGCCCGAAAAAGAAAAACUUUCACCAUCAUUCACUCCAUCACCGUCUUGCCAGAAGGGUGCUUUACACUACAGUUUUUAAACUGCAACAUUAACACCCCUCCUUCAGAGUGCAGGCACUGUACUUCCCAUCUCCAGGACUCAAGUCCGGCCUGCCGGUUUCCCUGAACCCCUUCAUAAAUGUUACUUUGCUCACACUCCAACAGCACGUCAAGUAUUAAAAACCAUUUGUCUCCAUUCACUCCUACCAAACACGCUCACGCAUGCCUGCUGGAAGUCCAAGCCCCUCGCACACAAAACCUCCUUUACCCCCCUCCCUCCAACCUUUCCUAGGCCGACCCCUACCCCGCCUUCCUUCCACUACAGACUGAUACACUCUUGAAGUUAUUCUGUUUCGCUCCAUUCUCUCCACAUGUCCGAACCACCUCAACAACCCUUCCUCAGCCCUCUGGACAACAGUUUUGGUAAUCCCGCACCUCCUCCUAACUUCCAAACUAUGAAUUCUCUGCAUUAUAUUCACACCACACAUUGCUCUCAGACAUGACAUCUCCACUGCCUCCAGCCUUCUCCUCGCUGCAACAUUCAUCACCCAUGCUUCACACCCAUAUAAGAGCGUUGGUAAAACUAUACUCUCAUACAUUCCCCUCUUUGCCUCCAAGGACAAAGUUCUUUGUCUCCACAGACUCCUAAGUGCACCACUCACCCUUUUCCCCUCAUCAAUUCUAUGAUUCACCUCAUCUUUCAUAGACCCAUCCGCUGACACGUCCACUCCCAAAUAUCUGAAUACAUUCACCUCCUCCAUACUCUCUCCCUCCAAUCUGAUAUCCAA